RNAcentral lists this ribosomal RNA (496 nucleotides) under uncultured bacterium. Its description in RNAcentral is "bacterial SSU rRNA". It matches the Rfam family "Bacterial small subunit ribosomal RNA", at positions 15 to 507 of the family's 1533-position model. The record is from RNAcentral.
GAUCAUGGCUCAGAUUGAACGCUAGCGGGAUGCCUUACACAUGCAAGUCGAACGGCAGCGCGGACUUCGGUCUGGCGGCGAGUGGCGAACGGGUGAGUAAUGUAUCGGAACGUGCCCAGUAGCGGGGGAUAACUACUACGAAAGAGUAGCUAAUACCGCAUACGCCCGUACGGGGAAGGGGGGACCUUCGGGCCUACCGCGAUUGGAUGCACCCAUGUGGGAUUAGCUAGUUGGUGAGGUAACGGCUCACCAAGGCGACGAUCUCUAGCUGGUCUGAGAGGAUGAUCAGUCACACUGGAACUGAGACACGGUCCAGACUCCUACGGGAGGCAGCAGUGGGGAAUAUUGGACAAUGGGCGAAAGCCUGAUCCAGCCAUGCCGCGUGUGUGAAGAAGGUCUUCGGAUUGUAAAGCACUUUAAGUUGGGAGGAAGGGCAGUAACCUAAUACGUUAUUGUUUUGACGUUACCGACAGAAUAAGCACCGGCUAACUUCGUG